CCGCGGUAAUACAGAGGGUGCGAGCGUUGCUCGGAAUCAUUGGGCGUAAAGCGCGCGUAGGCGGCGAGGCAAGUUGGAUGUGAAAGCCCUGGGCUCAACCCAGGAAGUGCAUCCAAAACUGCCUUGCUUGAAUCUCGGAGGGGGUCAGGGAAUUCCCGGUGUAGAGGUGAAAUUCGUAGAUAUCGGGAGGAACACCAGUGGCGAAGGCGCUGACCUGGACGAUGAUUGACGCUGAGGCGCGAAAGCGUGGGGAGCAAACAGG
Molecule: ribosomal RNA, 262 nt
Filed under: uncultured bacterium
Lineage: Bacteria
Description: partial 16S ribosomal RNA
Rfam family: Bacterial small subunit ribosomal RNA
Source: RNAcentral